GCCCUCCUCCUGGCGGAAACAGCUUCUCCCCGUCCCGCCCCUCAGUCUGCUCUUCACACGGAUACCACGAAUGCCACGGUGGCCUCCUGAAGACGGAGUCUGGUCUCACAUUCCUCCAGCUUCCUAUGCAUAAACCCCAGCGAAGGGUGAGCGCACGGCAUGGCACCUGCAGCAUGGGGUUCACGUUCUGGAAGGUUCUGGCUGACUCCCACCCCGCCCUUCACUGGCCAAGUAAACUUGCAGAAGUUACUUAACCCUUGACCUAGAAGAGCCUCCUGUCACCUGAAAAGGGAAAGUCGGGAUUGUAAGGAAAGGAAUCUCAUAGGGCUUCUCUGAGGAGACAAAUCAUUGGAUUGGGCUUAGACGUUCCAUCCGUGGCAAGAUUUCCGGCUUUGCCCUUUGGAGCCUGAGGAGCAAGGGUAGAAUGAGGAUCGUGAGGUUCUUCAGAGGCAGUUACUCACGAGGUCACAGCGCAGAAACGGCAAGAAAUGUCAGUUAUAAAAUGUCCAUGUGCAUUUUAAAUGAAUGGUUAUUAAAAUCCUUCUUUUUCCGUAAGGGAUCUAAAAAAUUAAACAAUUUGUAACUCAAACACACUUGUCAGGUAGCCUGAGUCAAAACCAGGAGAGGCUCCAUGGUCUGGAGUCUCCAGGUGCUCUCCUGGGUGAGGGUCUUGUUGCCUAAGGGGUUUAUGUAAUGAACUCAUUCUAAUACAAGCAAAACAUGAGUCCCUCAGAGUUGUUCAAAAAAUCAGGAAAUAGGAAAAAAUAAAUAAAUGAGAACAGAAUAUUGACAGGAGAGGAAAAUGAAGAGUUACUGGGAGAUUUGAAGGAGGGGAAAUGGGCAAAGGGUAAAUUUAGCAAUUAGACUUAAAGUCAGUGGAGAAUUAAGUGGAAUAAUCUAUUCUUACAUCCAUGUAUUUUGGUUUUAAAAUUUUGAUUAAUAUUCACUCAACACUAAUUUCUAACAAAAUAGAAUAUUUUCUUAUUGUCUGUUUCCACCACUGAGCUUGUAAUAUAUAUCCACUAGUAAUUUUAGUAGAUCAUAACCCCUCCAAAGGAGCCCAUAGAAUAAACUUAUUUUUGAACAGUCACAUUUUCUCCAAUGAACUUUUUUAUUUUCAAGUUUGAAAAGCUUUAGACAUACAGAAAAGUAGAGUGAAUAAUGGAGACCGUAGCCAGGACUCAGAUUUAGAAAAAUAGGUUUAAUCUGUUGUUAUAUGGCAUUUGUGUCAUACAUUUGACUCAUUUUUAUAAAAUGAAAUCUAGAAUUUAUAAAAUGUUGAUUGAAAGGAUUAGGAGUAAAGUUUAACCUGAUGUUUAUUUCUCCAAAUCUCUUUGUUCUAUGUUAACAGGUCAGGACAACUAUGGAUGUGAAGGAUGGGAGAGGGGCCUCCUUCCGCAUGAGGUCCCCAGAGGUAUUUGUCUCCAUCUAGAAACUGAGGGGCAUUUGUCUCCAUCCAGGACUUGGGGGGCCUCCUUCUCCAUCCAGGACUGGGGUGUGUCCUUCUGCAUCCAGGACAGGGGGACAUCCUUCUCCAUCCAUGAUUCAGAGUUCAUCCUUCUCUAUCCAGGAGAGGGGUUCAUCCUUCUCCAUCUAGGACUUGAGGGACAUCCUUCUCCAUCCAGGACUGAGAGGCAUCCUUCUCCUUGCAGUACCUGAGGGACAUCCUUCUCCAUUCAGGACCUGAGGAUGUCCUUCUCUGUACUCCCUUGGGACUGCACCCUUUCCUGUGCCAUCCUUCAGAAUGCUAGGCUGUCGCUGGUUGUGGAUUGAACUCUAGCAUCUUAUCUCUAUUCUAGGUGAAUCCCUUCACAUUUAUAGUGAUUUACCAUUUAAUCACUGUGCCAUUUUCCCCAAAAUAUGUGGGGUUUGGGGUUUGGUUUUUGUUCUUACUUCUAUUAAUUCUUCGGUUCCCACCUCCAGUUGUUUUGUAAUUUCUUUUACAACCUAAUAUGGUCCCAUUUGGUAAGUAUUACCAUGUACUAGAAAAUAAUGUAUAUUCAGUAUUUGUUGUGAUUUUUAAACCUUUAAUAAACUCAUAAGAUUUUUGUCUAUUUUCCAUUUAAAUUGAGAAGUACGAUCCCAAUGUUCCUCUCUCGAUCUGCUCCCGUUAGUCUCCAUGUGUGUCCUGGAGGUGAGGUCAGCAUUGGACUUAACCCUGUGUCACCUCCUUGGUUCUACUGCUCACCUGUGGCAUCCAUCCUGCUGUUUAUUAUUUUUUCCUUAAAUUGUAUUUGAACUAUUAAUUUUGCUACAGCAACUUGCUUUCUGUGAAUAUUUACUCAGUAGUUUCAUUUCCAUUCUUUUUUGCCCUUAAUUUGAAAGUGCUGCUUUGCUAUUGAUAAUUUUGUAUUUUAAUAUGUGAGGUUAAUUCCUCUGUGUUUGGUAGGAAAAAGUGAUACAUUUGAACUUAUUUCUAUUAUGUGAUUUUGGAUUUUGGAUUUGCAAAACUUUAUCCUUGAUUCUCUUUUCCUUUCUCCAGACUUAUUUUCAACUGACAUUUCCUUUUCCAUUUCCUUCUUAUGCUGAUUUGUAGGUUUUCCAGCCUAUUUACCGUUCUUUAGUGUCCUACAUUUUAAAAUAAUUCUUAAAUUAUCGACUAAUAAUUUUAAGCAUAUUGGAUUUGCGGUUUUCUCCCA
Molecule: long non-coding RNA, 2639 nt
Organism: Homo sapiens (human)
Lineage: Eukaryota; Metazoa; Chordata; Mammalia; Primates; Hominidae
Source: Ensembl